RNAcentral lists this ribosomal RNA (427 nucleotides) under uncultured bacterium. RNAcentral describes it as "bacterial SSU rRNA". It matches the Rfam family "Bacterial small subunit ribosomal RNA", at positions 355 to 774 of the family's 1533-position model. The record is from RNAcentral.
UGGGGAAUUUUGGACAAUGGGCGCAAGCCUGAUCCAGCCAUUCCGCGUGCAGGACGAAGGCCUUCGGGUUGUAAACUGCUUUUGUACGGAACGAAAAGGCUCUGGCUAAUACCUGGGGCUCAUGACGGUACCGUAAGAAUAAGCACCGGCUAACUACGUGCCAGCAGCCGCGGUAAUACGUAGGGUGCAAGCGUUAAUCGGAAUUACUGGGCGUAAAGCGUGCGCAGGCGGUUAUGUAAGACAGAGGUGAAAUCCCCGGGCUCAACCUGGGAACUGCCUUUGUGACUGCAUAGCUGGAGUACGGCAGAGGGGGAUGGAAUUCCGCGUGUAGCAGUGAAAUGCGUAGAUAUGCGGAGGAACACCGAUGGCGAAGGCAAUCCCCUGGGCCUGUACUGACGCUCAUGCACGAAAGCGUAGGGAGCAAACA